AACCCAUGGUGAGGGCAUCAUCUCAAUAAGUCCUUAUGCCUUUCUCAUGCAUCAUAUAGGGUCUCUAAGUCGGUUUGAACGAAUGAAGAUAUAUCAUUCCUUAACUU
Non-coding RNA from Gossypium hirsutum (cotton), 107 nucleotides. The record is from Rfam. Lineage: Eukaryota; Viridiplantae; Streptophyta; Magnoliopsida; Malvales; Malvaceae.